GACGAACGCUGGCGGCGUGCCUAAUACAUGCCAGUUGAGCGCUGAAGGUUGGUACUUGUACCAACUGGAUGAGCAGCGAACGGGUGAGUAACGCGUGGGGAAUCUGCCUUUGAGCGGGGGACAGCAUUUGGAAACGAAUGCUAAUACCGCAUAAAAACUUUAAACACAAGUUUUAAGUUUGAAAGAUGCAAUUGCAUCACUCAAAGAUGAUCCCGCGUUGUAUUAGCUAGUUGGUGAGGUAAAGGCUCACCAAGGCGAUGAUACAUAGCCGACCUGAGCGGGUGAUCGGCCACAUUGGGACUGAGACACGGCCCAAACGCCUACGGGAGGCAGCAGUAGGGAAACUUCGGCAAUGGACGAAAGUCUGACCGAGAAACGCCGCGGGAGUGAAGAAGGUUUUCGGAUCGUAAAACUCGGUUGGUAGAGAAGAACGUUGGUGAGAGUGGAAAGCUCAUCAAGUGACGGUAACUACCCAGAAAGGGACGGCUAACUACGUG
Molecule: ribosomal RNA, 497 nt
Filed under: uncultured bacterium
Lineage: Bacteria
Description: partial 16S ribosomal RNA
Rfam family: Bacterial small subunit ribosomal RNA
Source: RNAcentral